GGAAUAUUGGACAAUGGGCGCAAGCCUGAUCCAGCCAUGCCGCGUGAGUGAUGAAGGCCUUAGGGUUGUAAAGCUCUUUUACCUGGGAAGAUAAUGACUGUACCAGGAGAAUAAGCCCCGGCUAACUUCGUGCCAGCAGCCGCGGUAAUACGAAGGGGGCUAGCGUUGUUCGGAAUCACUGGGCGUAAAGCGCUCGUAGGCGGAUCUUUAAGUCAGAGGUGAAAUCCCAGGGCUCAACCCUGGAACUGCCUUUGAUACUGGGGAUCUCGAGUCCGGGAGAGGUGAGUGGAACUCCGAGUGUAGAGGUGAAAUUCGUAGAUAUUCGGAAGAACACCAGUGGCGAAGGCGGCUCACUGGCCCGGUACUGACGCUGAGGAGCGAAAGCGUGGGGAGCAAACAGGAUUAGAUACCCUGGUAGUCCACGCCGUAAACGAUGGAUGCUAGCCGUUGGACAGCUUGCUGUUCAGUGGCGCAGUUAACGCUUUAAGCAUCCCGCCUGGGGAGUACGGUCGCAAGAUUAAAACUCAAAGGAAUUGACGG
Molecule: ribosomal RNA, 540 nt
Filed under: uncultured bacterium
Lineage: Bacteria
Description: bacterial SSU rRNA
Rfam family: Bacterial small subunit ribosomal RNA
Source: RNAcentral